UUGGUUAUUUAUCACCGAAAGGGAAUUUUUUCCGGAAGGGGAGCAUCACAAAGGUCGCGAGAAUGGCGUCGCUUUCACUCACUGGUGCAAAAAUCUCUCCGUACUCAGGACUGCUCCGCCGCGAUAUUGUUCGUUUUUCCUCCCCGUUCACCGUAACACUAAACCCGAUCUCUGCGCCCAGAUCAGUUUCUAGGGCGAUGCUUUCUCCGCGGAAAGCUUUGUCUUCAUCGAAUCUGUCGGGAUUCGCAACAUGCUUGCUCGAUUUCCUCCGUGCUUCACCCGCUACUUGGGAGUCCUCUAUUGCGAGCAAUCUCCUUAUUUUCACACUUGGAUCGCCGCUUCUCUUGUCCGGGCUUUCUGCAUCGGGGAUAGGGUCUGCAUUCUUAAUGGGUGUCUUGACUUGGAGAGCCUUUGAUGCACCUGGGUUCUUCCUUGUGGCAAUCUAUUUUGUUGCAGGAACAGCAGUAACAAAGUUGAAAAUUGCACAAAAACAAGCUCUUGGUGUGGCUGAGAAAAGGAUGGGAAGAAGAGGUCCGGGCAGCGUUUUUGGAUCCAGUGCUGCUGGAUGUGCAUGUGCCUUAUUAUCAAUAUAUAGCGUUGGUGGAUCUGCAUUUUCAGAACUUUGGCGGCUUGCUUUUGUGGCUAGCUUUUGUACCAAAUUAAGUGAUACUGUUUCUAGUGAAAUUGGGAAGGCAUAUGGGAAGACUGCGUAUCUUGUAACAACAUUUAAGGUAGUCCCACGUGGCACUGAAGGUGCUGUUAGUGUUGAAGGGACUAUUGCUGGACUUUUGGCUUCAGUUAUUCUUUCUACAGUGAGCUAUUUUUUGGGCGAGGUUAACACACCACAAGCUGCCAUAUGUGUUCUGGCUUCACAAGUUGCGAACUUCGGUGAAAGCUUCAUAGGUGCUACACUACAAGAGAGAGACGGUUUCCAAUGGCUCAAUAAUGAUGCAGUCAAUGUGCUGAACAUCUCCAUUGGUAGCAUCUUGGCUGUUCUGAUGCAGGUACUCAUAGUUGAUGGCUGGCGGUGAUGAAUGAUUUACAGCAAAUUCACAUGGCGUGUUUCCCUCGCCUUUUAAGAAGUUCUAUCUCGUUGCAACUCGAUUCUUAGACCACCAUGCUUUGAAAUCUUUUCGAUCGCCCAAGCCCUUCAACAACUCUGAGUCCGUGACCAAGCCAGUUCAACCGACUGGAGUACUAUUUAUCUCUCUCUCAGCCUUCUUACGAACCACGUUAUUGUACAGUGGUUCUGCAGAUUUUUGUUCAGUUUCUUUGUUCGGUCACAUCGACCAGUUAUGUCAGGUGCUGUUAGAUUCUAUUUCAAGCAUUUUUUUAAUAGUAUAGCCAGCAAUGUAUUAU
RNA transcript from Phalaenopsis equestris, 1359 nucleotides. It is a transcript of the gene named protein VTE6, chloroplastic, with no coding region annotated. Lineage: Eukaryota; Viridiplantae; Streptophyta; Magnoliopsida; Asparagales; Orchidaceae. The record is from RefSeq and is a predicted model, not a curated record. The transcript has 7 exons.